This 251-nucleotide ribosomal RNA is filed under the name uncultured bacterium. Its description in RNAcentral is "partial 16S ribosomal RNA". It matches the Rfam family "Bacterial small subunit ribosomal RNA", at positions 81 to 334 of the family's 1533-position model. The record is from RNAcentral.
UAAGUGAUGGCGACCGGCGCGCGGGUGAGUAACACGUAUCCAACCUGCCGAUAACUCGGGGAUAGCCUUUCGAAAGAAAGAUUAAUACCCGAUGGUAUAAUAAAGCCGCAUGGUUUAAUUAUUAAAGAAUUUCGGUUAUCGAUGGGGAUGCGUUCCAUUAGGCAGUUGGUGAGGUAACGGCUCACCAAACCUUCGAUGGAUAGGGGUUCUGAGAGGAAGGUCCCCCACAUUGGAACUGAGACACGGUCCAA